RNAcentral lists this ribosomal RNA (484 nucleotides) under uncultured bacterium. RNAcentral describes it as "partial 16S ribosomal RNA". It matches the Rfam family "Bacterial small subunit ribosomal RNA", at positions 30 to 507 of the family's 1533-position model. The record is from RNAcentral.
AUUGAACGCUGGCGGCAGGCCUAACACAUGCAAGUCGAGCGGAUGAAGGUAGCUUGCUCCUGGAUUCAGCGGCGGACGGGUGAGUAAUGCCUAUGAAUCUGCCUGGUAGUGGGUUAUAACGUCCGGAAACGGGCGCUAAUACCGCAUACGUCCUGAGGGUGAAAGUGGUGGUUCUUCGGACCUCACGCUCUCAUAUGAGCCUAGGUCGGAUUAGGUAGUUGGUGGGGUAAAGGCCUACCAAGGCUACGAUCCGUAACUGGUCUGAUAGGAUGAUUAAUCAAAAGGGAAAAGAAAAAAGGGACAAAAAUCGAAGGGAAGGAAGAGGGGGGAAUAUUGGACAAUGGGCGAAAGCCUGAUCCAGCCAUGCCGCGUGUGUGAAGAAGGUCUUCGGAUUGUAAAGCACUUUAAGUUGGGAGGAAGGGCAGUAAGUUAAUACCUUGCUGUUUUGACGUUACCAACAGAAUAAGCACCGGCUAACUUCGUG